RNAcentral lists this transfer RNA (84 nucleotides) under Nocardioides kongjuensis. It matches the Rfam family "tRNA". Rfam says of the family: Transfer RNA (tRNA) molecules are approximately 80 nucleotides in length. Their secondary structure includes four short double-helical elements and three loops (D, anti-codon, and T loops). Further hydrogen bonds mediate the characteristic L-shaped molecular structure. tRNAs have two regions of fundamental functional importance: the anti-codon, which is responsible for specific mRNA codon recognition, and the 3' end, to which the tRNAs corresponding amino acid is attached (by aminoacyl-tRNA synthetases). tRNAs cope with the degeneracy of the genetic code in two manners: having more than one tRNA (with a specific anti-codon) for a particular amino acid; and 'wobble' base-pairing, i.e. permitting non-standard base-pairing at the 3rd anti-codon position. Lineage: Bacteria; Bacillati; Actinomycetota; Actinomycetes; Propionibacteriales; Nocardioidaceae. The record is from Rfam by way of RNAcentral.
GCCGGGUUGGCGGAAUCGGUAUACGCGGCGCUCUCAAAAAGCGUUGUCCGAAAGGGCAUGUGGGUUCGAGUCCCACACUCGGCA